AUGGCGCGCUGGGCCAUUGCCAUCCACGGCGGCGCGGGCGUGGACCCGAACCUGCCGGUCCACAGGCAGGAGGAGGCGGAGCGGGUGCUGGCGCGGUGCCUGCAGGUUGGCGUGGACAUGCUCCGGUCCGGCGCCGCCGCGCUGGACGUCGUGGAGGCCGUGGUGCGCGAGCUCGAGACGGACCCCUGCUUCAACUCCGGCCGCGGCUCCGCGCUCACCCGCGCCGGCACCGUCGAGAUGGAGGCCAGCAUCAUGGACGGCCACGGCCGCCGCUGCGGCGCCGUGUCGGGCGUCUCCACCGUCCGCAACCCCGUCUCCCUCGCCCGCCGUGUCAUGGACAAGUCCCCCCACUCCUACCUCGCCUUCGACGGCGCCGAGGAUUUCGCCCGCGAGCAGGGCAUGGAGACCGUCGAGAAUAGCUACUUCAUAACGGAGGAGAACGUGGGCAUGCUCAAGCUCGCCAAGGAGUCCAACAGCAUCCUCUUCGACUACCGCAUCCCGCUCGCCGAGGCCGCAGCAUCGGAGAGCCACAAUAACGGCGGCAUGGUGAUGAACGGGCUGCCCAUCAGCAUCUACGCGCCAGAGACGGUGGGGUGCGCGGUGGUAGACUCGAGCGGCCACACGGCGGCGGCCACGUCCACGGGUGGGCUCAUGAACAAGAUGACGGGCCGCAUCGGCGACUCGCCGCUCAUCGGCGCCGGCACCUACGCGUGCGGGCACUGCGCCGUGUCAUGCACGGGCGAGGGCGAGGCCAUCAUCCGCUCCACGCUGGCGCGCGACGUGGCGGCCGUCAUGGAGUACAAGGGCCUGCCUCUCCAGGAGGCCGUGGACUUCUGCGUCAAGGAGCGGCUCGACGAGGGUUUCGCGGGCCUCAUCGCAGUCUCCGGCACCGGCGAGGUGGCCUACGGUUUCAACUGCACCGGCAUGUUCCGGGGCUGCGCCACCGAGGACGGAUCCAUGGAAGUCGGCAUCUGGGAGUAA
Molecule: ribosomal RNA, 981 nt
Filed under: Triticum aestivum (bread wheat)
Lineage: Eukaryota; Viridiplantae; Streptophyta; Magnoliopsida; Poales; Poaceae
Description: partial small subunit ribosomal RNA
Source: RNAcentral